AGUGAACGCUGGCGGUAGGCCUAACACAUGCAAGUCGAACGGCAGCACAGGAGAGCUUGCUCUCUGGGUGGCGAGUGGCGGACGGGUGAGGAAUACAUCGGAAUCUACUCUGUCGUGGGGGAUAACGUAGGGAAACUUACGCUAAUACCGCAUACGACCUACGGGUGAAAGCAGGGGACCUGCGGGCCUUGCGCGAUUGACUGAGCCGAUGUCGGACUAGCUAGUUGGCGGGGGAAAGGCCCACCAAGGCGACGAUCCGUAGCUUGUCUGAGAGGAUGAUCAGCCACACUGGAACUGAGACACGGUCCAGACUCCUACGGGAGGCAGCAGUGGGGAAUAUUGGACAAUGGGCGCAAGCCUGAUCCAGCCAUACCGCGUGGGUGAAGAAGGCCUUCGGGUUGUAAAGCCCUUUUGUUGGGAAAGAAAUCCAGCUGGCUAAUACCCGGUUGGGAUGACGGUACCCAAAGAAUAAGCACCGGCUAACUUCGUGCCAGCCGCCGCGGUAA
RNAcentral lists this ribosomal RNA (506 nucleotides) under uncultured bacterium. RNAcentral's name for it is "partial 16S ribosomal RNA". It matches the Rfam family "Bacterial small subunit ribosomal RNA", at positions 29 to 523 of the family's 1533-position model. The record is from RNAcentral.